Molecule: ribosomal RNA, 497 nt
Filed under: uncultured bacterium
Lineage: Bacteria
Description: partial 16S ribosomal RNA
Rfam family: Bacterial small subunit ribosomal RNA
Source: RNAcentral
GAUGAACGCUGGCGGCGUGCCUAAUACAUGCAAGUCGAGCGAACAGACGAGGAGCUUGCUCCUCUGACGUUAGCGGCGGACGGGUGAGUAACACGUGGAUAACCUACCUAUAAGACUGGGAUAACUUCGGGAAACCGGAGCUAAUACCGGAUAAUAUAUUGAACCGCAUGGUUCAAUAGUGAAAGACGGUUUUGCUGUCACUUAUCGAUGGAUCCGCGCCGCAUUAGCUAGUUGGUAAGGUAACGGCUUACCAAGGCAACGAUGCGUAGCCGACCUGAGAGGGUGGUCGGCCACACUAGAACUGGAACAGGGUCCAGACGCCUGAGGGAGGCAGCAGUAGGGAAUCUUCCGCAAUGGGCGAAAGCCUGACGGAGCAGCGCCGCGUGAGAGAUGAAGGUCUUCGGAUCGUAAAACUCUGUUAUUAGGGAAGAACAAAUGUGUAAGUAACUAUGCACGUCUUGACGGUACCUAAUCAGAAAGCCACGGCUAACUACGUG